AACAGCAGCACACUUCAAAGUCUGCCCUCAAAGGUGUUCUUGGAAGCCAUUAAGUUGCCUGAGUUUGUUCAGCAAAUGGUGACCCUACCCUCUGCUCUGAAAAUGGCGUUUGUGGAAAAGAUUUCCUCCAGUGUUGGCCACCCUGCUGACCUGGUUAAGUACAUCCCUGAUGCUUUCACCAGUUACAUUCCAAAAUCAUUGCUUCUKUUUGGGAAAGAAAAGCCUAAUAUUCAGGAUCUCAAUCAGAAAACGUGGACCCGAGAACAGGCUGCCAUGUUUUUCAGUGAUGUGAUAAAGACAGAGCCUGAUUUCAGCAGGCUUUCCCAGUCUGUCCUCCAAGGCUUCACAUGUGCAGUUGCCAAUGAGAUGGAAAUGGAAAGUCUUCAGCAGCUGGCCAAAGUCAUGAAGCAGAAGAAUGUCAAGCUAGGAGAAGACCAGGUCAGWUCCCAUAUGCUAAAAUGCAAUUUUUGA
This 471-nucleotide long non-coding RNA is filed under the name Dromaius novaehollandiae (emu). Its description in RNAcentral is "lncRNA (ENSDNVG00000013399.1)". The record is from RNAcentral. Lineage: Eukaryota; Metazoa; Chordata; Aves; Casuariiformes; Dromaiidae.